CAGCAGCCACGGUAAUACGAAGGGGGCUAGCGUUGCUCGGAAUCACUGGGCGUAAAGGGUGCGUAGGCGGGUCUUUAAGUCAGGGGUGAAAUCCUGGAGCUCAACCCCAGAACUGCCUUUGGUACUGAAGAUCUUGAGUUCGGGAGAGGUGAGUGGAACUGCGAGUGUAGAGGUGAAAUUCGUAGAUAUUCGCAAGAACACCAGUGGCGAAGGCGGCUCACUGGCCCGAUACUGACGCUGAGGCACGAAAGCGUGGGGAGCAAACAGGAUUAGAUACCCCAGUAGUCCCUGUCUCUUAUAC
RNAcentral lists this ribosomal RNA (301 nucleotides) under uncultured bacterium. Its description in RNAcentral is "partial 16S ribosomal RNA". It matches the Rfam family "Bacterial small subunit ribosomal RNA", at positions 509 to 807 of the family's 1533-position model. The record is from RNAcentral.